Pygocentrus nattereri (red-bellied piranha) is the source of this 437-nucleotide long non-coding RNA. RefSeq lists it as uncharacterized. The record is from RefSeq and is a predicted model, not a curated record. The transcript has 5 exons. NCBI's taxonomy places the organism in Eukaryota, Metazoa, Chordata, Actinopteri, Characiformes, Serrasalmidae.
GGUAGCCUCGUGCUCCUCACUCUGUCCUCCAUGUUAGCAGAUUUUCUACUACUAGAGGUCAGCUAGCGAGUCCUUUGUUUUUUGUUCUCUGCUCACUACCAUGUAAUGGCUGCCAGCUCGAGCUUCAGCUUUAAUAACAGCGGGGAAUAAGGUUCAAGGCCUCUUCAGAUAUUGCACCCCUUGGUAUGCGGAGUGAGUUUUCACGGUGCUCGUGAGAGUGUUCAGCAAGCUGAAUAAAAUAAAGCACCCGUUUAGAGACUCUCUGCGUUGCUUCUUGAAGCCAAGGGCUGCUACAUAUUUCAUGUUAAAACAAGAAAACAUGACAUGAAAGGUGGAUGUUGAACUGACUGAAGAAGAGGAGAUGUUUGAGGUGAUGGACACAGAUGACCAUCUGGACUCAGAGAUUGAAUAUCUGGCAGAAGACGAAACGACAGAGG